CCACAUCAGCGUCGUCUUCAAGUUCUAGCCCAAACAGAAACGCACGCACGCACGUAUUAUGUUGGCUGUUACUAACAUUUCAUCUCCAAUUGAUUUCCGGCGAUUUAAGCCAAGCCACCAUUUGACGCACCGUUUCUUCCUACUUAAGCUACAUUCUCUCCUCUUCAUUUCCCCUCACUCACCACAGACCGAGAGCCUCCAGGCUGCUCGAAUUUGAGCUCGAAAUUCCGCGGUACCAGCGAGUUUCCGGGACGAUUCCGCGACGGCGCCGUCUUCAUCUGUGAGCGCCGUCAGCCCUGAGUAGACGCAGACGCGGACGAGGAACACACCCACCUCUGCGAACACCGUCCGCUACUUCCCGCGCCGCGAAGACCUCUAGAGCAGCGACCUCGCCGACCACCGCAGCCUCAGCUUCGUCCACACCCUCGAUCGUACGGAGUGCAACGGGUGUGAUUGUGAGAAGUGUAUGAUCAUCAACUACCAAAAGGCAAGUGUCACUCAUGUCCUAAUAUUUUCUAUGCAUGUAGUUUUUACUUAGUAGAUAUUGUAUGUGUAGGAUGUUUUCAAAGUAUAUGCUAUGCUAUGCUAAUCCUAUAGUCUUAGGAUUUCCUUUAGUUUCCCUUAAGUUGCCAUCGUAGGUAGUUAUGAUUAGCCAUGCCAUUAGAUACGUGGUUGGGAUAUCAUGAUGAGAUGAGAUGAAGAAAUAUGUUUUUGUUAUAAAUGAAAACAACUUGAUAAAUGAAACACCUGGGCGGAUUGGUAUGAGUGGAGCGUCUGCACGGUGAAAAUUGGUGGGGUCCGCCGCCCAGGAACAAAAGAGAUUGGACAGGUUUCAUGUUUAGUAGCUUCUUGUACAGCCGCAUGUCAUAUGGGCUCUGUCUUGACUAAGUAGGUGGUAGGGACCUGUCCCGACGUGACCAGCAGAUGUAGAUGUGUAGGUUGGUACGGGUCCGUCCUGAGGGCUCAGGGCCUUACUUCCGAAAAUAGUCUCGUCUUAGUCUUCUCCCAACCAUUUGAGCAAAAUGAGCAUCAUGGUGGAAAAGGGGCUGACUAAGUCGUGCGGGUAAAGUGUACAAACCUCUGCAGAGUGUUAAAAAAACUAAGUACUUAGCCGUGUCCCCGGUUACGGACAACUUUGAGCAAUUGGACCUGGAGCUGUUGGAAGAUCUCUCUCAUCCCAAUUUCAUAAUAAAACUUGAUGGGUAAACUUGGGUAGCAUUAAGCUGGACUCUAGUGUCUAUCCCUGGUGAGCCAGCGUGAUGAGAACUUGGGUUCAUGCUUUUAGGGUUAUAUUUUCAAAAACAAAUGAUGUUUACAAAAGAUAGGGAAAAUGCCCGCUUUUAUGCAAAGAGCCUAAACUCCACCAGCCAAAUAUACAUGUAGGUAUUAGGCGCCAUUUGUGUCCACUAAAUAGUGACAUCUUGCCAAUACAUUCAAAGUAUUGACCAAAUGUUUUUGGCUGUAACUUUACCUGUUGCAGAUAUUUUGAUAGACGAGUGAGUUACGAUGAGUACGGUUACGAGUCUAUCCUCAACAUGCUCGCCUGUGGCACAUGAAGAUGAAGGACUCCAUGCUAUAUGUUUGUUCGUUGUAAAACUCUGAUGUAAUGCUAGCCUUGUGCUAUGCAAUUUGUAAGUCAUUAUGUAUAUAUGGAUCAUGCGAUGUAAUAAAGACCUUUGUUUCUU
Molecule: non-coding RNA, 1685 nt
Organism: Lolium perenne
Lineage: Eukaryota; Viridiplantae; Streptophyta; Magnoliopsida; Poales; Poaceae
Source: RefSeq, a predicted model, not a curated record